RNAcentral lists this ribosomal RNA (505 nucleotides) under uncultured bacterium. Its description in RNAcentral is "partial 16S ribosomal RNA". It matches the Rfam family "Bacterial small subunit ribosomal RNA", at positions 30 to 523 of the family's 1533-position model. The record is from RNAcentral.
AUUGAACGCUGGCGGCAGGCCUAACACAUGCAAGUCGAACGGUAACAGGAAGAAGCUUGCUUCUUUGCAGACGAGUGGCGGACGGGUGAGUAAUGUCUGGGAAACUGCCUGAUGGAGGGGGAUAACUACUGGAAACGGUAGCUAAUACCGCAUAACGUCGCAAGACCAAAGAGGGGGACCUUAGGGCCUCUUGCCAUCGGAUGUGCCCAGAUGGGAUUAGCUAGUUGGUGGGGUAACGGCUCACCAAGGCGACGAUCCCUAGCUGGUCUGAGAGGAUGACCAGCCACACUGGAACUGAGACGCGGUCCAGACUCCUACGGGAGGCAGCAGUGGGAAUAUUGCACAAUGGGCGCAAGCCUGAUGCAGCCAUGCCGCGUGUAUGAAGAAGGCCUUCGGGUUGUAAAGUACUUUCAGCGGGGAGGAAGGGAGUAAAGUUAAUACCUUUGCUCAUUGACGUUACCCGCAGAAGAAGCACCGGCUAACUCCGUGCCAGCCGCCGCAGUAA